Long non-coding RNA from Acipenser ruthenus (sterlet), 1588 nucleotides. RefSeq lists it as uncharacterized. Lineage: Eukaryota; Metazoa; Chordata; Actinopteri; Acipenseriformes; Acipenseridae. The record is from RefSeq and is a predicted model, not a curated record. The transcript has 3 exons.
CAGCCCCUCCCAGCAGACCUGCAGGUGCAUGGCUAAGUACUGUAUGUGAACUUGCCUCGCGCACUGAAUGCAUGCCUGCACAGGGCUCCCCUGGGUCCUAAACCCUGCUAGGUACAGACAGGGAUUGUAGUAACCACACGCCGGCCACAUUAGUCGAACCCCCCAACUUCAGGAUUGUGUUUUGGGGUUAAAUUUCUGGACUUGUACUCGAGCAAAUACAUAAUAAAAACAUAGGGAGUGGAGGCAGUCGUCGAAUGGUUCUUCCAUUAAAGGCACCACAUGAAGUGCAGGAUGAGGAAAGACUUCUUGCAGCAGAGAGAGGUGAAGUGCAGUGGCAGUGAAUGCAUGGAGUCAGUCCAGCCUGCAGGGGCACUAAGCACACAGUCUGUGCAUGUGUGACAAAUGAACUAACACUCCUCCAGGUUACAUCGCCCAGGGACCACUACCAACCCACAGCCUUAUUAAAAAUAAAAUACUGCAGUCUAUUACAAUGCAAUUUCUGUUCCCAAAACAUAUUACACAAACAAGGCAAACCUUUAAAGUGUCUUUCUAAGUUGGAAUUGCAUCUGAAUAACAUGGUAUAGCUCAAAUAAAAUACUUUUAUAGCUCAAGGUAUGACCAUAACAGUUUUAUUUCCAUUAUCUCAUUGAUAGGUGCAGCUUAAUGGUCUGGGAAGCAUUUUGAUUAAUGUUUAUUUCAUGUUGCAUGCUGUUCCCAUGUUGCUGUUCCCAUGUUGCUGUUCCCAUGUUGCUGUUCCCAUGUUGCUGUUCUCUUACCUCGUUGUAGUAGAUUGCAAGCAUUCCCAGUGGUUCUUAUUGCAGUUUUUAAAUACCGUGCAAUUCCCUUUGAUUAUGAGCUCAUGAGAUGAUCUUCAGUUCUAAUUGCUUACCUAAGACAUAUGGUUCGUAAGCUAGAUCAGAAAAAAUGCAAAGCAGUGUAUUACCAGCAAAGCUAAAGGAAACUUGAUGAGUAGAUAGAUCACAAGAUGAUGUUGGCUCAUACUUUUGUAAAGAUGCUUUGGCUGAGCUGGCCUACAGCACAUAUAUCUGUGUGGCAACUGGAACUGAAGAACAACUUUUAAACACAGAUAAAAGCUCCUUAACAUAUAGUAAUAAGAACCACUCAGUAUGAUUGCUAUCAUCAGUUAAAAACUACAUAUUAUAAUUUAUUAAAUAUCAAUAACCAGUCUUCAUCGCUUAAAAUGUUUGUUUGUAAUAUGAUGAACACUAAAUACGGAAGAAAAAUGGGGUGACAUUUUCUGACCAUCUGGUUUUCAGAAAGUAAGUAGUAAGACAAACCCUUUUUUAUUUUGCUUUCCUGAAAUGCCUUUAAACACUAUUCGUGGAGGAAUCAUUUAUUUUAAGUGAAGAUUUAAUGGACUCUGGUGCCUGAAGAAAUACAGUUUGUAUUUAGUGUCCUUUGAGUUGCUGAAAGAACAGAAUAAUAAAAAAGAUAAAAAACAACCACAACAUAAUUGCAAUAACCUAGAAUGCUUUUGUUGAAUUUCAAAGAUUUCUUGAGAUACAUAUUGUCUUUCAUUCCUGAACCUGAAUCAGACUUCAGGCUGGUGAAAGCUUAACAUCAAGAA